RNAcentral lists this non-coding RNA (22 nucleotides) under Arabidopsis thaliana (thale cress). The record is from RNAcentral. Lineage: Eukaryota; Viridiplantae; Streptophyta; Magnoliopsida; Brassicales; Brassicaceae.
UAGAGGUGUCAGAAAAGUUACC